This 486-nucleotide ribosomal RNA is filed under the name uncultured bacterium. Its description in RNAcentral is "partial 16S ribosomal RNA". It matches the Rfam family "Bacterial small subunit ribosomal RNA", at positions 30 to 507 of the family's 1533-position model. The record is from RNAcentral.
AUUGAACGCUGGCGGCAUGCCUUACACAUGCAAGUCGAACGGCAGCACGGGUGCUUGCCCCUGGUGGCGAGUGGCGAACGGGUGAGUAAUACAUCGGAACAUGUCCUGUAGUGGGGGAUAGCCCGGCGAAAGCCGGAUUAAUACCGCAUACGAUCUACGGAUGAAAGCGGGGGACCUUCGGGCCUCGCGCUAUAGGGUUGGCCGAUAGCUGAUUAGCUAGUUGGUGGGGUAAAGGCCUACCAAGGCGACGAUCAGUAGCUGGUCUGAGAGGACGACCAGCCACACUGGGACUGGGACACGGCCCAGACUCCUACGGGAGGCAGCAGUGGGGAAUUUUGGACAAUGGGCGAAAGCCUGAUCCAGCAAUGCCGCGUGUGUGAAGAAGGCCUUCGGGUUGUAAAGCACUUUUGUCCGGAAAGAAAUCCUUGGCUCUAAUACAGUCGGGGGAUGACGGUACCGGAAGAAUAAGCACCGGCUAACUACGUG